RNAcentral lists this ribosomal RNA (1238 nucleotides) under Staphylococcus aureus T23868. Its description in RNAcentral is "bacterial SSU rRNA". It matches the Rfam family "Bacterial small subunit ribosomal RNA", at positions 8 to 1227 of the family's 1533-position model. Lineage: Bacteria; Bacillati; Bacillota; Bacilli; Caryophanales; Staphylococcaceae. The record is from RNAcentral.
AGAGUUUGAUCCUGGCUCAGGAUGAACGCUGGCGGCGUGCCUAAUACAUGCAAGUCGAGCGAACGGACGAGAAGCUUGCUUCUCUGAUGUUAGCGGCGGACGGGUGAGUAACACGUGGAUAACCUACCUAUAAGACUGGGAUAACUUCGGGAAACCGGAGCUAAUACCGGAUAAUAUUUUGAACCGCAUGGUUCAAAAGUGAAAGACGGUCUUGCUGUCACUUAUAGAUGGAUCCGCGCUGCAUUAGCUAGUUGGUAAGGUAACGGCUUACCAAGGCAACGAUGCAUAGCCGACCUGAGAGGGUGAUCGGCCACACUGGAACUGAGACACGGUCCAGACUCCUACGGGAGGCAGCAGUAGGGAAUCUUCCGCAAUGGGCGAAAGCCUGACGGAGCAACGCCGCGUGAGUGAUGAAGGUCUUCGGAUCGUAAAACUCUGUUAUUAGGGAAGAACAUAUGUGUAAGUAACUGUGCACAUCUUGACGGUACCUAAUCAGAAAGCCACGGCUAACUACGUGCCAGCAGCCGCGGUAAUACGUAGGUGGCAAGCGUUAUCCGGAAUUAUUGGGCGUAAAGCGCGCGUAGGCGGUUUUUUAAGUCUGAUGUGAAAGCCCACGGCUCAACCGUGGAGGGUCAUUGGAAACUGGAAAACUUGAGUGCAGAAGAGGAAAGUGGAAUUCCAUGUGUAGCGGUGAAAUGCGCAGAGAUAUGGAGGAACACCAGUGGCGAAGGCGACUUUCUGGUCUGUAACUGACGCUGAUGUGCGAAAGCGUGGGGAUCAAACAGGAUUAGAUACCCUGGUAGUCCACGCCGUAAACGAUGAGUGCUAAGUGUUAGGGGGUUUCCGCCCCUUAGUGCUGCAGCUAACGCAUUAAGCACUCCGCCUGGGGAGUACGACCGCAAGGUUGAAACUCAAAGGAAUUGACGGGGACCCGCACAAGCGGUGGAGCAUGUGGUUUAAUUCGAAGCAACGCGAAGAACCUUACCAAAUCUUGACAUCCUUUGACAACUCUAGAGAUAGAGCCUUCCCCUUCGGGGGACAAAGUGACAGGUGGUGCAUGGUUGUCGUCAGCUCGUGUCGUGAGAUGUUGGGUUAAGUCCCGCAACGAGCGCAACCCUUAAGCUUAGUUGCCAUCAUUAAGUUGGGCACUCUAAGUUGACUGCCGGUGACAAACCGGAGGAAGGUGGGGAUGACGUCAAAUCAUCAUGCCCCUUAUGAUUUGGGCUACACACGUGCUA